Molecule: ribosomal RNA, 465 nt
Filed under: uncultured bacterium
Lineage: Bacteria
Description: partial 16S ribosomal RNA
Rfam family: Bacterial small subunit ribosomal RNA
Source: RNAcentral
CCUACGGGUGGCAGCAGUAGGGAAUCUUCCACAAUGGGCGAAAGCCUGAUGGAGCAACGCCGCGUGGGUGAAGAAGGUCUUCGGAUCGUAAAACCCUGUUGUUAGAGAAGAAAGUGCGUGAGAGUAACUGUUCACGUUUCGACGGUAUCUAACCAGAAAGCCACGGCUAACUACGUGCCAGCAGCCGCGGUAAUACGUAGGUGGCAAGCGUUAUCCGGUUUUAUUGGGCGUAAAGGGAACGCAGGCGGUCCUUUAAGUCUGAUGUGAAAGUCUUCGGCUUAACCGGAGUAGUGCAUUGGAAACUGGGAGACUUGAGUGCAGGAGAGGAGAGUGGAACUCGAGGUGUAGCGGUGAAAGGCGUAGAUAUAAGGAAGAACACCAGUGGCGAAAGCGGCGCUCUGGUCUGUAACUGACGCUGAGGUUCGAAAGCGUGGGUAGCAAACAGGAUUAGAUACCCGGGUAGUC